Molecule: long non-coding RNA, 435 nt
Organism: Arabidopsis thaliana (thale cress)
Lineage: Eukaryota; Viridiplantae; Streptophyta; Magnoliopsida; Brassicales; Brassicaceae
Product: other RNA
Exons: 1
Source: RefSeq
UGUGACAAAGCCCCUUGAGGACCCCGGAGGAGCAAAUAAAGUGUAUCUUCGAAUAUCAAUGCUUUGUUAUUUUGUUUUGACUAUUUUUUCUCCAAAUCAGCCUCCCUCUAAUUAUGGGGAGUAAAUUUAGUGUCUUCCCCCUAUUUUCUUUUCUCAUCAUCUUUACAUUGUGUAACGUUUUCUUCUCUUUUGAGUUUUGACAAUUUUUCUCCUCCAAGUGGCUCCAUGACUCAGAUUCUUUUGACAUAUUGCUGAUAGACUUUAAUGUAAUUUGUAUUAGUUUUAAAUAAAUGAAUCGAAUACAUAAGAUUAUAAGAAGAAGAAAAAAACGUAAUAAAUACGCCACGUGUGUGUGGUUUCUGGCGAAAGUAUUUGCCAUGUGAAGCUGCCCCUUUAGUUGGCCCCAACCAAAUACCAAUUAUUGCCUCUUCUCUU